UGGGGAAUUUUGGACAAUGGGGGAAACCCUGAUCCAGCCAUCCCGCGUGUGCGAUGAAGGCCUUCGGGUUGUAAAGCACUUUUGGCAGGAAAGAAACGUCAUGGGUUAAUACCCCGUGAAACUGACGGUACCUGCAGAAUAAGCACCGGCUAACUACGUGCCAGCAGCCGCGGUAAUACGUAGGGUGCAAGCGUUAAUCGGAAUUACUGGGCGUAAAGCGUGCGCAGGCGGUUCGGAAAGAAAGAUGUGAAAUCCCAGAGCUCAACUUUGGAACUGCAUUUUUAACUACCGGGCUAGAGUGUGUCAGAGUGAGGUGGAAUUCCGCGUGUAGCAGUGAAAUGCGUAGAUAUGCGGAGGAACACCGAUGGCGAAGGCAGCCUCCUGGGAUAACACUGACGCUCAUGCACGAAGGCGUGGGGAGCAAACAGG
RNAcentral lists this ribosomal RNA (429 nucleotides) under Acidobacteriota bacterium. Its description in RNAcentral is "Acidobacteria bacterium partial 16S ribosomal RNA". It matches the Rfam family "Bacterial small subunit ribosomal RNA", at positions 355 to 776 of the family's 1533-position model. The record is from RNAcentral. Lineage: Bacteria; Pseudomonadati; Acidobacteriota.